CCUACGGGUGGCAGCAGUGAGGAAUAUUGGUCACUGGACGAGAGUCUGAACCAGCCAAGUAGCGUGAAGGUUGCAUGCCCAUUGGGUUGUAACCUUCUUUUAUAUGGGAUUAAAAUGUUCCACGUGUGGGAUUUUGUAUGUACCUUAUGAAUAAGGAUCGGCUAACUCCGUGCCAGCAGCCGCGGUAAUACGGAGGAUCCGAGCUUUAUCCGGAUUUAUUGGGUUUAAAGGGUGCGUAGGUGGAUUGUUAAGUCAGUUGUGAAAGUUUGCGGCUCAACCGUAAAAUUGCAGUUGAAACUGGCAGUCUUGAGUACAGUAGAGGUGGGCGGAAUUCGUGGUGUAGCGGUGAAAUGCUUAGAUAUCACGAAGAACUCCGAGUGCGAAGGCAGCUCACUGGACUGCAACUGACACUGAGGCUCGAAAGUGUGGGUAUCAAACAGGAUUAGAUACCCUUGUAGUC
Molecule: ribosomal RNA, 460 nt
Filed under: uncultured bacterium
Lineage: Bacteria
Description: partial 16S ribosomal RNA
Rfam family: Bacterial small subunit ribosomal RNA
Source: RNAcentral